This 288-nucleotide long non-coding RNA is filed under the name Homo sapiens (human). RNAcentral's name for it is "HSALNT0158630". Lineage: Eukaryota; Metazoa; Chordata; Mammalia; Primates; Hominidae. The record is from RNAcentral.
CACUCACCGUGGUGGGUCGGAGGGUACCUCUGCACCGUGGCCCUGACCGAGUUUCCGUAGUAGGGCGGGACGUGGUUGCCUUGACCGUCGAUGUUAAAAGGGAAUGCAUUCUUUCUGAAAGUAUCAAGACGGCGCCAGGCAGCUCAGUGUUCGCAGACAGCUGUGGCGCGACGCAACUUAAGGAGGUUCUAGUGUCAUCCGCGCCGGGGGGGAGGAGCCUGGCGCUGGCGAGUAGGGGACAGGAUCCCCGGCACAAGGAAACUGCAACCCAAACCCGCUCCAGGACUU